Molecule: ribosomal RNA, 504 nt
Filed under: uncultured marine eukaryote
Lineage: Eukaryota
Description: bacterial SSU rRNA
Rfam family: Eukaryotic small subunit ribosomal RNA
Source: RNAcentral
UUAAAAAGCUCGUAGUUGGAUUUCUGCGGGGGCGGGGCGGCCGGAUGCUUAUAGCAUCUCGAGCUAGCACUUCCCCCGCAUCCUGCCGCGAACCGUGCUACCAUUAGUUUGGUGGCGCUGGGGAUCGGCUCGUUUACUUUGAGAAAAAUAGAGUGUUCAAAGCAGGCCACACGCCUUGAAUAAGUUAGCAUGGAAUAAUGAUAAAGGACUUCGGUUCUAUUUUGUUGGUGUUCGGGACUGAAGUAAUGAUUGAUAGGGACAGUUGGGGCGGUCAGUAUUCCAAAGCGAGAGGUGAAAUUCUUAGACCUUCGGAGGACUAACAGCUGCGAAAGCGUUCCGCAGGGAUGUUCCCUUUGAUCAAGAACGAAAGUUGGGGGAUCGAAGACGAUCAGAUACCGUCGUAGUCUCAACUAUAAACUAUACCAGCUAGGGAUCGGCCGACAUUUACUUAUAUCGACUCGGUCGGCACCUUAUGAGAAAUCAAAGCAUUUGGGUUCCGGGGGG